RNAcentral lists this ribosomal RNA (2796 nucleotides) under Stenotrophomonas maltophilia. RNAcentral's name for it is "bacterial LSU rRNA". It matches the Rfam family "Bacterial large subunit ribosomal RNA". Lineage: Bacteria; Pseudomonadati; Pseudomonadota; Gammaproteobacteria; Lysobacterales; Lysobacteraceae. The record is from RNAcentral.
AGCGCACACGGUGGAUGCCUUGGCGGUCAGAGGCGAUGAAGGACGUGGCAGCCUGCGAAAAGUAUCGGGGAGCUGGCAACAAGCUUUGAUCCGGUAAUGUCCGAAUGGGGAAACCCACCCGCUUGCGGGUAUCCUGCAGUGAAUACAUAGCUGCUGGAAGCGAACCUGGUGAACUGAAAUAUCUAAGUAACCAGAGGAAAAGAAAUCAACCGAGAUUCCGUAAGUAGCGACGAGCGAACGCGGACUAGCCCUUAAGCUGGAUUGGUUCUAGGAAAACGCUCUGGAAAGAGCGGCCAUAGAAGGUGAUAGCCCUGUAUCUGAAAGGGCCAUUCCAGUGAAGACGAGUAGGGCGGGGCACGUGAAACCCUGUCUGAACAUGGGGGGACCAUCCUCCAAGGCUAAAUACUACUGACCGACCGAUAGUGAACCAGUACCGUGAGGGAAAGGCGAAAAGAACCCCGGAGAGGGGAGUGAAAUAGAACCUGAAACCGUGUGCGUACAAGCAGUAGGAGCUCCGCAAGGAGUGACUGCGUACCUUUUGUAUAAUGGGUCAGCGACUUACUGUUCGUGGCAAGCUUAACCGUAUAGGGGAGGCGAAGGGAAACCGAGUCUGAUAAGGGCGCAUAGUCGCGGGCAGUAGACCCGAAACCGGGUGAUCUAGUCAUGCCCAGGGUGAAGGUGCGGUAACACGCACUGGAGGCCCGAACCCACUCCCGUUGCAAAGGUAGGGGAUGAGGUGUGAUUAGGAGUGAAAAGCUAAUCGAACCCGGAGAUAGCUGGUUCUCCUCGAAAGCUAUUUAGGUAGCGCCUCAUAUGUAUCCUCUCGGGGGUAGAGCACUGUUAUGGCUAGGGGGUCAUCGCGACUUACCAAACCAUUGCAAACUCCGAAUACCGAGACGGACUGUAUGGGAGACACACGGCGGGUGCUAACGUCCGUCGUGAAAAGGGAAACAACCCAGACCCACAGCUAAGGUCCCAAAUUCACUGCUAAGUGGAAAACCAUGUGGAAAGGCACAGACAGCCAGGAGGUUGGCUUAGAAGCAGCCACCCUUUAAAGAAAGCGUAAUAGCUCACUGGUCGAGUCGGUCUGCGGGGAAGAUUUAACGGGGCUAAGCAGUGAACCGAAGCUUGGGGUGCAUACUUUGUAUGCGCGGUAGAGGAGCGUUCCGUAAGCCGUUGAAGGUGGAUUGAGAAGUCUGCUGGAGGUAUCGGAAGUGCGAAUGCUGACAUGAGUAACGAUAAUGCGGGUGAAAAACCCGCACGCCGAAAGCCCAAGGUUUCCUUGCGCAACGUUAAUCGGCGCAGGGUGAGUCGGCCCCUAAGGCGAGGACGAAAGUCGUAGUCGAUGGGAAGCAGGUUAAUAUUCCUGCACCUCGCGUAAGUGCGAUGGAGGGACGGAGAAGGUUAGGUGUACCAGGCGUUGGUUGUCCUGGGGAAAGGCGGUAGGUUUGGAUCUUUGGCAAAUCCGGGAUCCUUUAAGACCGAGCACCGAGACGAGCCUUUAUGGCGAAGUCACUGAUACCACGCUUCCAGGAAAAGCUCCUAAGCUUCAGCUUACGCAGACCGUACCGUAAACCGACACAGGUGGGUAGGAUGAGAAUUCUCAGGCGCUUGAGAGAACUCGGGUGAAGGAACUAGGCAACAUGGCACCGUAACUUCGGGAGAAGGUGCACCCUUUUUGGUGGCUCGUGCGAGCUAUAGCUGAAGAGGGUCGCAGUAACCAGGCCGCUGCGACUGUUUAUCAAAAACACAGCACUCUGCAAACACGAAAGUGGACGUAUAGGGUGUGACGCCUGCCCGGUGCUGGAAGGUUAAUUGAUGGGGUCAGCCGCAAGGCGAAGCUCUUGAUCGAAGCCCCAGUAAACGGCGGCCGUAACUAUAACGGUCCUAAGGUAGCGAAAUUCCUUGUCGGGUAAGUUCCGACCUGCACGAAUGGCGUAACGACAGCGGCGCUGUCUCCACCCGAGACUCAGUGAAAUUGAAAUCGCUGUGAAGAUGCAGCGUUCCCGUGGCAAGACGGAAAGACCCCGUGAACCUUUACUAUAGCUUUACACUGAACGUUGAGUUCGUCUGUGUAGGAUAGGUGGGAGGCUAUGAAACUGUGGCGCUAGCUGCAGUGGAGCCAUCCUUGAAAUACCACCCUGUCGUGCUUGACGUUCUAACCUGGGCCCAUUAUCUGGGUCGGGGACCGUGUAUGGUGGGUAGUUUGACUGGGGCGGUCUCCUCCUAAAGAGUAACGGAGGAGCUCGAAGGUACGCUCAGCGCGGUCGGACAUCGCGCACUGUGUGCAAAGGCAUAAGCGUGCUUGACUGCAAGAUCGACGGAUCAAGCAGGUAGGAAACUAGGACUUAGUGAUCCGGUGGUUCUGUAUGGAAGGGCCAUCGCUCAACGGAUAAAAGGUACUCCGGGGAUAACAGGCUGAUACCGCCCAAGAGUUCAUAUCGACGGCGGUGUUUGGCACCUCGAUGUCGGCUCAUCACAUCCUGGGGCUGUAGUCGGUCCCAAGGGUAUGGCUGUUCGCCAUUUAAAGUGGUACGCGAGCUGGGUUCAGAACGUCGUGAGACAGUUCGGUCCCUAUCUGCCAUGGGCGUUGGAGAUUUGAGAGGGGCUGCUCCUAGUACGAGAGGACCGGAGUGGACGAACCUCUGGUGUUCCGGUUGUCACGCCAGUGGCAUUGCCGGGUAGCUAUGUUCGGAAGCGAUAACCGCUGAAAGCAUCUAAGCGGGAAGCGCGCCUCAAGAUGAGAUCUCCCGGGGCACAAGCCCCCUGAAGGAACCAUGUAGACUACGUGGUUGA